GCAUUUGUAGUUUGAGAGAAAUAAUAGUAGAAAGUGUCGAACCAGUUUCUAGGAUGUUUUGGCCAAAUAAAAUACUAUAAAUAUUGAACAAAUUCUGUGGUGAAGUUAAGGAGAUAUCCAAAUGUUCUGAAAUAGCCAGUAGCCAUAGAGGCCCCUAGAGAUUUACAGGUUGCAUAGAUAACUUGAUCAAUAAAUAUAUAUUGUGCUUUGAUGUUAUUAUGAAGUAGUGAUGCGAAGAAUAAUCACAUCGGUAUUUACAAACCUGAGAUACAUCCACAGCAACAAAUAACAUAUGAGUUGAAAAAGGAUAUUCUUUGCACAAUGUCCAGAUCCAUAAAUACUUGUUGUAGAUUAUAAUCAUGUAUUGAUAAGCUGGCAUGGCUAUGAGAAAUCCACUAUGGUACAAUACAGAUAAAAAAAGAGAAACAUAUAUAACAGCAACCAAUGUACCACUAAAGAUCUAAAAUUCAGUGUAACAAAAUGAGAUAGGCAGCCCAUCAGAUGAAAGAGCUCAAACCCAAUCACUAACCCAAGUGAAGAGAGCCACAAUAGGUCAUACCCAUUACAAAAAUUUUGUAUAAAACAAUUGUACCACUAUAGCCAUCACUUAUCUCCAGCAUCUAUCAUCUAGCCAACAAUCCUCGUAGCUUCACCAAUGCCUAGGAAAGGAGAUUUUAUAUGCAUCAGCUUGCAAAAUAGUUGCAAAAGAAAGAUCUAGAAUAUUCCCUCCUUUCCACACAAUAUCAUUUUGCAAGGCACAAAUGGUCAUGUAAUCUGCUGCUCGAUUGGCUUCGCAAUAUAUAUGAGUAAUAUGGCAUAGCCUACAUGUCUGUUGCCAAGCUAUCAUAUCCUUUAUCAAAAGAACUAAAGAGUUCUUAGAUUUAUACUGAAGCAACCAAGAGAUGACUGUUAACAAGUCACCUUCAAUCCAAAUCUAUUGAGCUCCCAAUUCAUUAGCAGCCACUUGAAGCUCUAACCACACUAUAGAAAGCUUUGCAUAUGGUACAGAUGAGAGCAUCAAUUGUCAGCCCCAGCUAUAAUUAUUUGGCCAACUUCAUUUCUAACCACAAAGCCAGUUGUUGCUUGAUCACAUGUUACAGAAGCAUCAAGGUUAAUUUUAAAUACUCUAGUGGGAG
Molecule: long non-coding RNA, 1136 nt
Filed under: Elaeis guineensis (African oil palm)
Lineage: Eukaryota; Viridiplantae; Streptophyta; Magnoliopsida; Arecales; Arecaceae
Description: long non-coding RNA (EGUI_LNC041729)
Source: RNAcentral